RNAcentral lists this ribosomal RNA (2900 nucleotides) under Clostridioides difficile. RNAcentral's name for it is "bacterial LSU rRNA". It matches the Rfam family "Bacterial large subunit ribosomal RNA". The record is from RNAcentral. Lineage: Bacteria; Bacillati; Bacillota; Clostridia; Peptostreptococcales; Peptostreptococcaceae.
UGGUCAAGUUAUUAAGGGUGCAGGGCGGAUGCCUUGGCACUAGGAGCCGAUGAAGGACGUGAUAAGCUGCGAUAAGCUUCGGGGAGUUGCACGUAAACUUUGAUCCGAAGAUUUCCGAAUGAGGAAACUCACUUAGAGUAAUGUCUAAGUAUCAUUAAGUGAAUACAUAGCUUAAUGAGGGGAACUCAGGGAACUGAAACAUCUAAGUACCUGAAGGAAGAGAAAGAAAUUCGAUUCCGUAAGUAGCGGCGAGCGAACGCGGAUUAGCCCAAACCAAUAAAGUUUUCUUUAUUGGGGUUGCGGACAUAUCAUAACGAAGAGGUAUCGUAAUUGAAGAGGUUUGGAAAGACCCACCACAGAAGGUAAUAGUCCUGUAUGUUAAACGAGAAGACUUCAGAUAUGAUCCAGAGUACCACGGGACACGUGAAACCCUGUGGGAAGCAGGAGGGACCACCCUCCAAGGCUAAAUACUACCUAGUGACCGAUAGCGUAUAGUACCGUGAGGGAAAGGUGAAAAGAACCCCGGGAGGGGAGUGAAAUAGAACCUGAAACCCUGCACUUACAAGCUGUGGAAGCACAUUUCUUGUGUGACCGCGUACUUUUUGUAGAACGGGCCAACGAGUUACGUUAAGUAGCAAGGUUAAGCACUUAAGGUGCGGAGCCGUAGCGAAAGCGAGUUUUAACUGAGCGUUCAGUUACUUGACGUAGACCCGAAACCGGGCGACCUACCCAUGAGCAGGAUGAAGCGAAAGUAAAAUUUCGUGGAGGUCCGAACCCACGAGCGUUGAAAAGCUCGGGGAUGACUUGUGGGUAGCGGUGAAAUUCCAAUCGAGCCCGGAGAUAGCUGGUUCUCCCCGAAAUAGCUUUAGGGCUAGCCUCAAGGUGAGAGAUACGGAGGUAGAGCACUGAAUGUCCUAGGGGGUAUUGCACCUACCGAAGACUAUCAAACUCCGAAUGCCGUCAUCUUAUACUUGGGAGUCAGACUGUGGGUGAUAAGAUUCAUAGUCGAAAGGGCAACAGCCCAGAUCGUCAGCUAAGGUCCCUAAAUGUAAGUUAAGUGGUAAAGGAUGUGGGAUUGCACAGACAACCAGGAUGUUGGCUUAGAAGCAGCCACUCAUUCAAAGAGUGCGUAAUAGCUCACUGGUCGAGUGAUCCUGCGCCGAAGAUUUCCGGGGCUAAAACUUACUACCGAAGCUACGGCAUCAGUAAUGAUGGGUAGGGGAGCUUCCCAUACGGGUUGAAGCAUGACCGUAAGGACAUGUGGACAGUAUGGGAGUGAGAAUGUUGGCAUGAGUAGCGAGAUGUGGGUGAGAAUCCCACAGGCCGUAAACCCAAGGUUUCCAGGGGAAGGUUCGUCCGCCCUGGGUUAGUCGGGACCUAAGCUGAGGCCGAAAGGCGUAGGUGAUGGACAACAGGUUGAUAUUCCUGUACUACCGAUAACCGUUUGAGAGAAGGGAUGACACAGUAGGAUAAGCUAAGCACACUGUUGGUUAUGUGUGCCCAAGCAUUGAGGCAGUCAAAGUAGGCAAAUCCGCUUUGAUAAUGCUGGGAUGUGAUGGGGAGCGAAAUUUAGUAGCGAAGUAGCUGAUUUCACACUGUCAAGAAAAGUCUCUAUCGAGGUUAAAGGUACCCGUACCGCAAACCGACACAGGUGGGUGAGGAGAGUAUCCUAAGGCCAGCGAGAGAACUGUUGUUAAGGAACUCGGCAAAAUGACCCCGUAACUUAGGGAUAAGGGGUGCCACCAUCAGGUGGCCGCAGAGAAUAGGCCCAAGCGACUGUUUACCAAAAACAUAGGUUUCUGCUAAGUCGCAAGACGAUGUAUAGGAGCUGACGCCUGCCCGGUGCUGGAAGGUUAAGGGGAUCUGUUAGAGCAAUCGAAGCAGUGAACUUAAGCCCCAGUAAACGGCGGCCGUAACUAUAACGGUCCUAAGGUAGCGAAAUUCCUUGUCGGGUAAGUUCCGACCCGCACGAAAGGCGUAACGAUUUGGGCACUGUCUCAACAACAGACUCGGUGAAAUUGUAAUUCCGGUGAAGAUGCCGGAUACCUGCGACAGGACGGAAAGACCCCAUGGAGCUUUACUGUAGCUUGACAUUGGGUCUUGGUACUACAUGUACAGGAUAGGUGGGAGGCUUUGAAACCAGGACGCCAGUUUUGGCGGAGCCAUCCUUGGGAUACCACCCUUGUAGUACUGGGACUCUAACCAUAGGCCAUGAAUCUGGUCUUGGGACACUGUCAGGUGGGCAGUUUGACUGGGGCGGUCGCCUCCCAAAAGGUAACGGAGGCGCUCAAAGGUUCUCUCAGUACGGUCGGAAAUCGUACGUAGAGUGUAAAGGCAAAAGAGAGCUUGAUUGCAAGACAUACAGGUCGAGCAAGGAUGAAAAUCGGACUUAGUGAUCCGGUGGUUCUGCGUGGAAGGGCCAUCGCUCAACGGAUAAAAGCUACCCUGGGGAUAACAGGCUUAUCUCCCCCAAGAGUCCACAUCGACGGGGAGGUUUGGCACCUCGAUGUCGGCUCAUCACAUCCUGGGGCUGUAGUAGGUCCCAAGGGUUGGGCUGUUCGCCCAUUAAAGUGGUACGCGAGCUGGGUUCAGAACGUCGUGAGACAGUUCGGUCCCUAUCCGUCGCAGGCGUAGGAAAUUUGAGAAGACCUGUCCUUAGUACGAGAGGACCGGGAUGGACGUACCUCUGGUGUACCAGUUGUCCUGCCAAGGGCAUGGCUGGGUAGCUAUGUACGGAAUGGAUAAGCGCUGAAAGCAUCUAAGCGCGAAGCCAACUUCAAGAUAAGAUUUCCCACCGCAAGGGUAAGACUCCAGAAAGACUAUCUGGUUGAUAGGUCGAAGGUGUAAGUGCAGCAAUGUAUUUAGCUUAUCGAUACUAAUAGGUCGAGGACUUGACCAAU